RNAcentral lists this ribosomal RNA (467 nucleotides) under uncultured bacterium. RNAcentral's name for it is "bacterial SSU rRNA". It matches the Rfam family "Bacterial small subunit ribosomal RNA", at positions 329 to 794 of the family's 1533-position model. The record is from RNAcentral.
GUCCAGACUCCUACGGGAGGCAGCAGUGAGGAAUAUUGGUCAAUGGCCGAGAGGCUGAACCAGCCAAGUCGCGUGAGGGAAGAAUGUCCUAAGGAUUGUAAACCUCUUUUGUCGGGGAGCAAAAAGGCUCUGCGGAGUCGUAUUGAGAGUACCCGAAGAAAAAGCAUCGGCUAACUCCGUGCCAGCAGCCGCGGUAAUACGGAGGAUGCGAGCGUUAUCCGGAUUUAUUGGGUUUAAAGGGUGCGCAGGCGGAGGUGCAAGUCAGCGGUCAAAUUGCGGGGCUCAACCCCGUACUGCCGUUGAAACUGGCAGUCUCGAGUUGGAGAGAAGUAUGCGGAAUGCGCGGUGUAGCGGUGAAAUGCAUAGAUAUCGCGCAGAACUCCGAUUGCGAAGGCAGCAUGCCGGCUCCACACUGACGCUGAGGCACGAAAGCGUGGGUAUCGAACAGGAUUAGAUACCCGCGUACU